UACGUAGGGGCGAGCGUUGUCCGGAGUUACUGGGCGUAAAGCGCACGCAGGCGGUCUGCUAAGUUUGGAGUGACAGUUGGUGGCUUAACUGCCAAAGUGCUUCGAAACUGACAGACUUGAGGGCUUCAGAGGGACACGGAAUUCCGGGUGGAGUGGUGAAAUGCGUAGAGAUCCGGAGGAACACCAAAGGCGAAGGCAGUGUCCUGGGGAGUACCUGACGCUCAGGUGCGAAAGCCAGGGGAGCGAACGGG
Molecule: ribosomal RNA, 251 nt
Filed under: uncultured bacterium
Lineage: Bacteria
Description: partial 16S ribosomal RNA
Rfam family: Bacterial small subunit ribosomal RNA
Source: RNAcentral